CCCUUAGAUGUUCUGGGCCGCACGCGCGCUACACUGAUGCAUUCGACGAGCCUAUCCUUGACCGACAGGUCCGGGUAAUCUUUGAAUCUGCAUCGUGACGGGGAUAGAUUAUUGCAAUUAUUAAUCUUCAACGAGGAAUGCCUAGUAGGCGCAAGUCAUCAGCUUGCGUCGAUUACGUCCCUGCCCUUUGUACACACCGCCCGUCGCUCCUACCGAUUGGGUGUGCUGGUGAAAUGUUCGGAUCGGCCGUUUGUCGCGGUUUCCGCGGCUCGUGGCUGAGAAGUUCAUUAAACCCUCCCACCUAGAGGAAGGAGAAGUCGUAACA
RNAcentral lists this ribosomal RNA (325 nucleotides) under uncultured eukaryote. RNAcentral's name for it is "partial 18S ribosomal RNA". It matches the Rfam family "Eukaryotic small subunit ribosomal RNA", at positions 1470 to 1796 of the family's 1831-position model. The record is from RNAcentral.